This 126-nucleotide small RNA is filed under the name Aliivibrio fischeri. RNAcentral's name for it is "Vibrio genomosp. Manganese sequence". It matches the Rfam family "Manganese Mn2+ riboswitch aptamer (yybP-ykoY)". From Rfam's summary of the family: This RNA was originally discovered in E. coli during a large scale screen and was named SraF. The family was later found to exist upstream of related families of protein genes in many bacteria, including the the yybP and ykoK genes in B. subtilis. The specific functions of these proteins are unknown, but this structured RNA element may be involved in their genetic regulation as a riboswitch. The record is from RNAcentral. Lineage: Bacteria; Pseudomonadati; Pseudomonadota; Gammaproteobacteria; Vibrionales; Vibrionaceae.
CUCAUCGUCUUUGGGGAGUAGCCUGCUUAUUCAGCUUGAAUAAGUUCGUUCGUCAACAUAAUUGGUGCAAAAUCACCAUGGCGUUCGAGACCUUUGUAUCAAUCAGACUUUUCUGGGUACAAGGUU